CUCACUCUCUCGUUCUUUCAUCUCAUUCUCUAGCAAUCAGUGAUCGGCCGGCGAGACAGCCGAUGGUGAUCGAAUCAGGUUCGCCUUUGCAACACAUUCGGUUGAUCCAAUUAAUUCCAGAUCGAGAUCGUACGACCUCGCUCUCAAAUUCGAUCCGCCCAAUUUCAAAGGUCACAGAAGAGACUGCUGGGGUUAUGGAGCGUUGGUUUGAGUCUGAAAGGGCUGCAGAGGUUGGGGAGGUGAAUUGGGACGUGGGUAAGGUGAGGGAAGAGGUUGUGAAGGGAGGAGGGGGUGGCAUGGACAAGGGUGGCUCAGAAAUGGGAAUUUGAGAGUUACGAGGAUGCAAAUGGAUGAAAUGGGUGUGUGCCUAUCGUGUGGAGAGAAGCUUGUUAGCAUUGAUAUUGAUCCUAAAGAGACUGAAAACUUCACUGCUUCAUUGACCAAUUUGGUAUGCCAAAGAGAGGUUAAGUCUGAUUUUAUGCAGUUUCAGGGGUGGGGUUUGAGACUGCAAUCUGCCCCUAAUGGCUGCCAAGGUACUGCUAGGCCUGAGAGACUUGUUUGAAAAUGAUCAAUGUACUUGUAAUUGUAUUGUUGAAAAUGUAUUCAAUGUCUUCGUCAAAGGCCCAUAUUUGCUGCUUGUGUAUGGUUCAAGCGAUUAAUACUUAAAAAGAAUGGCAUUCUGACUAACUUAGAAGGUGCACUCAUUCAGGAGUGGCUUCAGCGACACGAUCCAUUUGAUGUAGUUAUAGAUGGUGCAAAUGUGGGGCUUAUUAAUAGGCAUAAUUUCAACUUUUCCCAGCUUAAUUCUAUUGUAAAUCAGUUACAUCAAAUGAGGCCGUCAAAGAGAUUACUACUUCUUGUUUUGCAUAAAAGUCAUGUUACUGGUGGUCCAGCGCAGAGUCAUAACAACAAGAAGCUGUUAGAGAAUUGGAAAAGGUCUGGUGCACUUUAUGCUACUCCUACCGGUUCAAAUGAUGAUUGAGGUUUCGCUUUCCUUCCUAUUUGUGCCCAAUAAAGCGUGUGGAUUGUUGGACUAUAUGGAGGUUCUGCUUUCCUUUCGGCUAGCCACCGGUAAAGUGUGGCACUUUGAGGUAAGUUCCAGAUUUCCUUCCAAAUUAGUGCUUGGUAAACUGUGUUGGAAUGACAAAACGAAGCCGGUUGUUAAUUGUGUUGUGUUCGUCACUUGGUUGCAUGAUUGUGUAGAUAUGUGUGCUAUGGUGAAAUUGUGUUGGAGAUUGAAAGCGUGUAAUUGAGAUAAUUUUGUAAUGAAUUGAAUGCUAUCGCUUGUCUAUAUGUUAGAUGUUGGUAUGCACAAUUGGUGUUUUAUUGAUUGUAGUAACAGUUGAUUGUGAAAUUAUUGUUUUUGGGUUAAAGAUUAGUAUGAGUGUGUGAUUGAUUGGUUUAAAACUUCUUUCUAAAGUAAAGGAGAUAUUGAAGCAUUUCAUUUAAAUUGCUAAUGAUAAGGUGAAAAGAUAAUAAAUAACUUUUUACUUGAAAUGUUAAGUGGAAUAUUUUCUUCUUUUUUUUAUUUAUUUAUUUUUAAAUGAAAGUAUAUAUUCAUGUAUGUUUUAUUUUGGAUAUAAAAGAGCACGUUACUUAUCUAAAUAUCACCUGAUAGUAUUCAUAAUCACAUAUAUCUAUAGAUCUCAUUAUUUUGCAUCAUUGUAAAUCCCUACUGGACCUUGUGCUCAUCUCAAUCGUUAAAUCAUUGUUUAGGUGUGGAGUUUGUUGUCUCGUUCAAGAAUUCAAGGAGUUAGGUUACUGAUGAUUCGAGAUUUGUUACUCACUGGUGAAAAUGCCAAUGUGUUAUUACUCUCUUUAUUAUAAUUAUUGCAUUUUUGAAAUUCUCAAUGUAAGCCUAAGGGCAUAUUUUGUAAUGAUCCGUACUAAACUUGUACCAUUGUAUAUAUGCGAGAGGGAACCUUGAAUAUCCUAUGUAUUUUGUUUUGCUUCUGCAUUUUAUUAUUUCAUAAAUGGACCUUAAUAUGAAACUUGAUAAUAUUAUCCGAUUAAUAAAAGUUGGAGGAUUACAACUUGACAACAAAAAUAAAUCAUUUCUUGGUCAGCUAAUGAAGUAGACAUAACUUGCCAACAAAAAUAAGCAAAUACUUGAUAUGCUUUUUCUUGUGAGUCAAGGAAUUUGAAAAUUUUAUAAUCCGAACUGGUUCGGGCUGGUCCAGUUUAGUUCAGUCCAAUUCGAUAGGUUUUGACUAAUUUUUUGAAUUCGUGAUUUGAUUCUGGUUUGGAAAACUAGGAAAUUGAUCUUUUCAGAUCAGUUUCAGAUUGAGUUCACAGUUCUGAAUUAGAAAUGAACCAAACCAUAUGUAACUUAAACCAUAUACAUACCAUACACCUUGUGCAUUCAAUCCUACCAUCUUAUAUACAAAACCCUAAUGUUAUUUUUUUUUUAUUUUAAUUAUUUAGCAUAAUUUUAGUUUUGUAAUUGUUGUUGCCAAGACAAAAUGCUUGUUUGAUGGGAGUUUUAUGUUUGCUACAUGUUAAACAAUAUGUUUAUUUACUAAAUAUUAUGUUUGUUUAAGUUAUGUUUCAAAAAAUCAUGGGCAAAUUAAUGUUAAACAAUUUAUGAUAGGUUUAAUUUUUUUGAAGAUGUUAUAUGAUUUUUUUUGUGUGGAUAUAUUAUGUAAAACUGUUGUUCCAAACCAAGUCGAAUUGUCUUAAAUGAUUUGAUUGGAAUUGGUUCCUUGAUUAAAUACAUUGGUUUGGUUCUAAUUUUUAUGAAACCGUAAAUAACAGAUUAGUCCUAGUUUUAUCUCCCACCAAACCAAUCCGAAUUAUGCUCACCCAAAAGAAAAGACCAAUUACUUGUACUAUGAGAGAAAGUGAGUGUAACAACCCUCACUCUGUCUUAGUCAUGCUCAUAUGCAUUUAUAUGAUUUUGCCUAGUUAAGUUUGUACCUGCAGACUUUGAUUCGUUUUGCCUAGGUAAAGGUUCUUGUCUUGUUUUGUGCUAUCAUGUUUUGCCUAAGUAUUAUAUGCAUGCUUUGUUCCUUGCUUGGUGUGUCAAGCCUAGGUCAUGUCAUGCUCAUAUGCAUUUAUAUGAUUUUUCCUAAUUAAGUUUUUACCUGCAGACUUUGAUUCGUUUUGCCUAAGUAAAGGUUCUUGUCUUGUUUUGUGCUAACAUGUUUUGUCUAAGUAUUAUAUGCAUGCUUUGUUCCUUG
Camellia sinensis is the source of this 3179-nucleotide non-coding RNA. The record is from RefSeq and is a predicted model, not a curated record. Lineage: Eukaryota; Viridiplantae; Streptophyta; Magnoliopsida; Ericales; Theaceae.